CAAAGAGCUCGAUGGUGUUGACAGACAAGUCCAGGUUGUUAUCCAGGACACAGUUUAUGAGCAAAGUGCAAGAGAUCAACAGACCUAUGUGAAAUACCUUGCAACUUCUGAAGAAAAAACUUACCAGAGCCAGCCCAUGUCACAAAGUGGACCAGAACCCAUCAAUGGUAGCCUGGAAUCCCUGGCACCAUGCACCGUGUAUGAAAUAGAGACUUGCUAUUUUUCCUUCAGAGCAUCAGUGCUCAGCUCCCUGGGAGCAUCAGUAGCAGCCUAGCUUCCCAAGGUGGUGGCACAGGCAGAGCACCUAGAAGGGAAACCAGGAAAGACCUGAACUUGUGGAGUGUGAAUCACUUAGAGAUGCUGGUCCCUCCUGCCUCCAUCACAGCUGGUUCAAUGACUUUCCUGCUCCUCUUCCUCCUUUCCCAUAUGUUGUAGUUAAGAAUUUUGGUAAGUCCUUGGUUGCCAAAGAUGACCAUUAGCAUGGUCAUCUUUGAAUUCAUCAUUAAAGUGGCACAAGUGGGCAGCAAUUCAGGGAAUCCACACAUGAUAUAUAGGACUCAGGGCUUUAUUGUGAGAUGAAAGACAAGGACCUCAUCAGGGUUUCUUUGCCCUCAUUAAUCAGCAGAAGAAAAAAUCUUUCAGCAGUCCUGACACUUCCAGUUUUGGUUUCCUACUAGACUUAGACCAGAUGAGACUCAAGUAACAAGGCAUUUGUGGAAAAGAAUAGUAAUAGUUCCUUCUUAUUUCAUAAGUAAGAAACGUGCAGAGGGCCAGCUUCUAAUUAAAUAAUAGCAGUAGUGAAAUGUGCAGAUGAUGAAAAUAUCCAGAUGGAUAUUGGAUUUUGGAUUUGCUGAAUUUUGGAUUUUAUGUUGCCAUGAGCCUUCAUUGACUCCAGCUACUUUAGAUAGGCUGUUUCCCUUUACUCUUCUUCCUGUGCCAGAGGUGGCUCAGAUUUCUCCCUAAGGGCAGAACGUGGACCAGCAGUGUCCUCCAAAGAGGAGAGACUGAAGGACUUCCAUCACAAGAAUUGUGAUGGAGGGGGGAGCUUACAAAGAUAACUGAGCAACCAUUCUCUUUUCAGUGCUGUCAACUCCUUUCCCUUCUUCCUUCCCAAUUUCUCCACAGAAGCAGCAGCAGGGGAUUCUGCCAGGGGCCAAGGCCCCCUUGUUGCUGCAUGCUCACAGACACCUACCACAGAUAAACACUCACUGUGACGUAUUGGAGCUUGUUUGGGGAUCACAUAUGCUGAUUCUGUAACAGCAUGGCUCAGGAUGAUAGACAAGCCAGCGCCAGAAACUUCCCAUGCUCCUAUGGUACAAAACAACUGCAAAUGCAUCUUAAUCUGCUGCCUAAAUUGGGCUGGGCUUUGAUUUGUGCCACCACAAAAACCAGCAGGAUCGGGACAUCUUGGUGAAUCUUGCUGUUUUGGUUAUCCAGUGGGUAAAAACAGCACUUAUAGCAUCUCUGGGUUGUAAACACCAUGAAACCAAUAGGAAUCUAUCACGUAAACAAUGACUUAUUAUUACUGACUUAUUUGGAGUCAUACAUUGUUUAUGAACGUUCUGGUCUGACACUGAUUGCUCUAAGCGUGGGUCUAAGCUUACUAGUAAGAAAAAGAAGUGGGUUUCAAGAUGGUUUUAGCACAAUUUCAGGCAUUAACUUUCUUCUUGACAGUGUCUGCAGGACUGAGACUCAUGACGAGCAUUUGCACAGCCACAAAAAUUCUAUUUUUAUUUAAGAUACUUCACAUAAAAUUUUCCAAGUCCUCAGAACAAUAGGCUCAUUAUAAUUGGCCUUCAAGGAGUCUUUGGAUACAUUACAACUAAGAUUGAUGGUAUAUGGUGUCUUUCAUCCAAAUAAGACUAUAUUCUCAAAAUACAGUUGGGCAAGUCCAAUACAACUGUAUGCGGUCGUGAAUUGCCUGGCUGCAGAAAGAGAUGUCUGUGUGCAGCCUCGAGGAGGUGUGGAGAGAAAGGUAGGAGGAGAUGCAUUCAAGAGUAGUGGGCCUGGGCUGUGCCCAGCAGCAUUAUGAACACACCCAGCAGAAUGGGGAGCAAAGGCUCAUGCCAAGACACAUUUUUCAGCUUUGAAGUGAGAAGCAAAGGGCCAGCUCAGGAUACAAGAUCUGAAGCACACACUGGAGUGGGUGUUUCUCUCCUCUUCUGUGCUCAGUGAGACUGCAGGUGAGGAGCGAUGUGUGCUGGUGCGUGGUGUGUGCAUGGGUACAGCUCACUCACCAUCGCUAAACCACAACCUGCUCUGAAGUGGUAGAGGGAUGCCUCUGAACUGGAUGCCUGUCUGCACAGAAAGUUUGUGAUCAGUGCUUCAUACAAAUAAGUCAUAAGGAACCUGAGACAUGUAAGCUGUAAUAAUAUAAUUGGAACUCACCCAGGACAUUCAAGGCAACAACCUUUCAUUACUGCGGUGAAGAUUGACAUGGGACCUGGAUGUUUGUAGCGUGUUCAUAAGAUUGCACCUUUGACAGCCAGCUGUCCCCUGGCACUAUUUGAUUGCACUGAGUGAUAAAGGGAAAAAAAGGCCAAUUGUUGACCUACUUUUUGUGGCACCAAUACUUGCUGUAUGUCAUUUCAGGGAGCGAAAAUUCCCAAACUUGCCUUAUUUAUACUAUUUAGCUGUGUUACAAUGCAUGGUUCAAAACUAGACUGUGGAAGAGUAAAUGUCCUACUAUGAAACGAAAGGUGCUGUGAAUAAAAUCAAAUAACAGACCCUAGAGAAUAACGGUAAAUGGCCAGGUAGCAGAGAAAUAAUCAUUUUACCACAUUGAGUUACAGCAUAUCAAGGGAGUUGUCAUUGAGUCCAGUUUUAUUAAUGUAAUACAUAACUGACUGGGAGGCGGCAAAAUGCAAGCUCCCUCCUGAAUCAGUUUAACCAGUGUGAAUUUGUGGGUAGACCAGGCCUCAGUCAGAACAAAAGAGAAAAUAAUCCCCUUGUAAUGCAGCAUUUAACACUUAGCAGUCAGGUGAUAAUUGCUUCAGUCCAAGGGGAUUAGCACAUUGCAACCUCAUUAUAAUGUAAAAUGUAACUUCCCUAUAUGGGGUUGUCUACACGGAAAACUUACAGUGGCAUAAACAAAGGUAUGAAUUCAAACUGAUUUAGUUCUGCUGGAAUAAUUCCUGGUGUGAAUUUAUUUCUUUGGGGAAAAGAAAGUGGGGUUUUUGUGGUGUCUUUUUUUUCUCUUCUUUCUUUUUUUCUUUUGCAGUUCAAUCAACUUCAGUGUUUUUUAAAAGUCCACCCAAAAUGAGAGAUACUGGAUGUCAGCCAAGCCCCCCAUCGCUUAAAGACACCAGAGCAUUCCUAAAUUAAGAAAGUGUAAGGUUUGGGAGAGUCAGGUUUUAUUAACUAGCAAGCUUAAUCAUAUGGAGCUAAGUAAAAAUGCAUUUAAGGAAUACUUAUACAUAGAAAUACUAAGCGUAUUCUCACUGAAGCAAAUUAAUUUCCACUCUCAGUGACAAGUCUGGCUUAAUUGCUGGUAGAGGAUCAGGUGUGUGGGAUACUUGUGGCAUGAAGAUAUCUGAAAAUUAGCAAUUGCCAGUGAUUCACCACGAGACCUCGUGCCUGAACUGGCUGCCAGGGUCCUCUUAGCAGGUCUGAGUUAUGCAGGCAAUGGUUGGUGCUCAUAGAGGGGCAAAAUUCUCUGAGAGAAGCAUGGUAAUAAAAGCCUUAGUAAAUGCUGAUGCCAAGGAAGAGGUUAUUAUUAUACUAAUAUUAUUAUACUAAUUAUUCCAUGCCACCCUAGAUGUCCUUGUACUUUGGGCCUGCUCUGCUUUAUCCUUAUUUCUUCAGGUCAACUGCUCCAUGAAGAACUGCAGAUCCACAUCCUGGGACUGAAAUGCUAACACUCAUGUAGGUCUUUUUAGCAACUCCAGGGAUCACCAGAGCAUAUUGAAAAGCAAUUUGUGACAACGGCAUUCUGCACCUUAAGUCUGGGUCUUGCCACAAACUGCUUAAACUGGAAGAGCAUUAAAAGGUUAAAAGGACAGCUGCACAGAGCAAGCCCUCCCCAGGGAUCCAAUAUUAGUUGGUCUCAUGGUCCUGGAGGUAGAGAGAGGUUAAGAAACAAUUGCAGACACACCACUGAGCAUGGCUGAGAAAGUCACUCUCCCGCUGCGAUUCUAACCAGGCGAGGAAGAAGCUGAAUCUCAAGAAAGACCAGCACUUCAUCUUAGCUGACCAUAUUCACCCUUCCUGAGCAACUUCAUUGACCUGUGUAUAUGAGCACAUGUUGAGGACCAUGCAUGCUCAUGGUGGGGAAAUGAUAGCUGAGCACUGAAAACACCCAUUUUUUGUCUGCAGAAAAACAUUCAGGAUUUAGCCCUAACAGUCAUGCAGAAAAUAAGAAUCAGGAAGCACAGCACCUGAACAAUGAUGGGGAGGAUCUCUCUCUCUCUCUACUCCCUUUCCUUCCUUUUGCACGAGGUGUCCUUCCCUUCAUCCCCACAUGCAGCCCUUUGGGUGUGUGGUUAGGACCACAGCUCCUGCCCACCAGCCCUGUUCUCCUGAGUGACACAUGCUGCAUGGAGCUGGGCACCUCUCUCCAAGACCCCCAUCCUGGCCUACACCAGUUCUCCAUCCCAUCCAUUCCACCCACCCUGGCAUCAGCUUGAUCCCUGACAGCCUGUCUCAGCAGUGCUCCCUCCCUGCUGUGGGUCUUAGAGGGAAUGCUGAGACCUUUGCUCUGCUGUGAAGUGUCUGGCGGGGAGAAGGAGGUGUUAACCUGAUAGUGUGGUGGUGAUGGGAAACUGCAUGGCUUUGAUUCCCUGCACAGGGGCAAGGGAAAUCAGGCACAGGUGAUUUUAUUCUUUUUCCUGUCAUACUGACACUGAUGAGCAGUUUAACUAGCUUAAGUGAGUCUUGAAGUGGAUUUUACACACUAUGUUAUGAUCUUAAUGUAUAGCAUUUAACAAAACCGGUAACUUAAAUUCUAUUGCUACAAUUCUGCACCAAAAUGUUACACAUUGUUUGAAAUCAAGCUCAGCUCUUUUCUCUGGCAUACAGGAACUAGAAAAGAAGGCAAAAAACCAACUCUGUCUUAAAUGUCCAAGCUAAAAAAAGCACUCUCAACACUCAUCAAAUAAAACACAGAAACUGAAUCAUUCAGAAGACAAAAAAAAUUAUUUUAAAAGCUUGUCUGUGACAGUUUGAUCUCUGCUGUGUUAUGUGCAACUGUGUUACAUGCACAGGUUGCAUAUAAGCACAUGGCAACAAACGGAAAACAAACUAAAGGAGGCUGGAUAUGGGCUUGGAGUUUUCCUUCUGAGAGGUGAAAUUUUAUUCCCCCUGCAAAUCUUGAUUUCAUGCCAUGAGUGCUAAAAUCAUCACUUCUUACUAGGAGGUACAGUUUAGAGAUAAAACAGAAGAGCACAGGGUAAUGUUAAUAAAAGAAACAUUGCUUGGUCCCCAACUGCCCACAGAGACCAGCAAGAAGAUCCUUGCACAAGAGCCAGCAUGGCGUGCAGCACUGCUUCAGAUUUCUGCUCUUUCCCAAUAUAAUUUGUUCCACAUGCUGUUUACCCAAUGUUUCUUCCAAACCACGUCUUGGCUAGAAGGCAGGUGAUGACAGGUCAUGGAAAAAAACAGAAGAAUUUUGCAGCUUUUCUUGGCUGUACUGAAUAUGCCCUCGUGCUUGGAACAAAUCAAACGCUUUGUGCCUUUAACGAACUGUGGCAAAUCCAGUGAGCCUUCCUUCCCUGACAGGGAGUGGAAAGAUGCACCAGUGCUAUAAACAACAGCCAGUUAUGGGAUGACUUCAGUGCAUUGACACUCACAGCAGAGAAAACAAGGUAUGGGCUGGCUUGUACGAGAAGAUGCAUGAGUGUGCUUUGCUCUGGAUGGGUGGCAGGGGACAGGGAGACUGUGCUUUGCAACCAGUAUGUGUCAUGCCUUACUUUACAUGCCUUUACCUGGGAUCUGCCCUUGAAGCAACAAUCAUCCACAAAUUCCUUGUCCUACAAGCCAAUCGGGUGUCACUUGCUAAAGAUACACUGGGGAGCAGCCCAUGAAGCUGAUGAGUACGGCAAGGUUUACCUAUUUCCUUGUGUCAAAGUUUCACAGUCAGUAAAGGUAAUGCCACCAUGAAAAUGCAUAAAUUAUAGCUCAUGCUGCACAAACCUAAUCUUUAAUAAAUAGACAUGAGGAAAACCUCCUCUUUUGCAAGCUGUCCUUACUCUGCAAGAUGCAAAGGGAAGAAACCAUAUAGCUCUGGCUCCAUUGGCUCCCUUGGAGAGUGAAAGAACUAUGUUGUUCUUUGUUAAUGCCUUCUCUGCUUCUCCAGGGACCACUGAGGGCAAGCCCAAGACUUCACAUCUGGGAUCUGAGCAGUGCAAGUGAAAGGCCAAGAAAAGGGGGAGAAAUGUGACAUCUGGAAGCUGUGUUGCUCCAGUGCCCGUGCGUUGUCCUGGCAGGCACAUAUCCAGAAAGGGAAGUGCCAGCCACAGGACUGAGCCUGAGCAUGGGCUCAAUGGCAGCUGGAUAAAUGUGCUGGGAUUUGCGUCAGUACCUUAUUUUUGGUGCUGGACCCCACUGAAUUUGUUUGACCUGGCAGUCACCAGUCAUCUCCCCAGCUGGGAAGAGAACAGCAGCACAUGCUGUGACCUGUAUAAAAAUCUAAGCCAGAAUGGCCGAGAGAAAGAGAGGAACCUAUAGAGGUAUAUUUAUGUGUCUGUGUCAAAAGAUCAAGUCUACAAAAUCACUGGAUAGUUACACCAGUAUGAUAUGUCUCUGUAGCUAAAGAUGAAUGGAGAAAGUGGUGGAAAAAUGCCUGUUGUUCCAUGUGGUUCAUCUAAUUUAUCUCUCUGAAGAUGUAUGUCCAUUUUCUGCAACAGUAUUUGGCUAGUUUUUCAACAUCCCAAGAAAUGAAACUUCUCAUGAAAAGUUACUUCACUGACCACAUUGAAAAUGUUCAUGGUGGGUUUGUUUGUUUGUUUUUUUUUUAAUUCAGUCAAAAUUUUAAGCUUACUAAUUUCACUUCAAUACUAAUAAAUGCAUCAUUCUGAAUCUCACUUAAUACCUGAUUCUCUCAAAAAUCUAUAGAUAACCAGACCUUUAUCAAUAUGGUUCUUUCAAUAAGUCCUUUCAGUGAUAGAAUUAUUUUGUCCUGGCUGAAUUCUACCAGUUUUUCCUGGUAAUACAAUUCAAGGUUCCUUAAACCCCAGCCAUCAACUGCUCUGUGAUUUGACAGGCAAGUCAAUGCCUGACUGUCUCUUGGCUGGCUAAAGAGUUUCAAAGAUCUUACAUUUCAUUACAGCUAAUCAGGAUCUACUUCUAGUGAAAAUUAAAAUAAUCCAGCACAACAAAUAUGUUAGAAUGUAGUCAUUUAUUCAUAUGAAUAUUCCACUCAGCUACAUACUCUUGCCCAGAUAUUGGACAUGCACAUUUUCCUCCUGCCUCAAAACCUGUGGGUACAUUGGAGGCUGUCCAAAGGAGUGAGCUACCCCAGUGCCAAAUGCUUUUGUUACCUGUUGCACAGUCCUAACUUCCAGUCUUCCUUUUUCAGUUUAUUUCCCCUGUAAGACUUACCAGUGCACUGAAAUCCAGACACAGUCAUGCAGAAUCCAGCUGUGCCACUUUUUGGGAGAAAUUAAUUAAAAAUUAUUUCUAACCUAAGACCUUCUAAAAUUUCUGCCUUCUUCAAGAUUGUCUCUUUACUAGGUUGUGAUUGGCAGGUUGGAGUUGGCAUAUCAGUAUUUCCUUCUACAUGCCAGCGUUAAAGGGAAAGUACUUGCUCCUGUCUCCAAAUAUGAGACGUUGUCCAUAUGUGCACUCUCCACUCUGUCCUGCCUAAUAACUAUACAUUAAGAUAUUAUGCAGGAAAGGUUGCAAUAUUUUGUAGCGUAUGUCUCUGCAAGUGAGAAGUGUGUCUCACACCUGCUUCUUGGCUUUGGGAUAUUAUUUCUGA
Molecule: long non-coding RNA, 7915 nt
Organism: Prinia subflava (tawny-flanked prinia)
Lineage: Eukaryota; Metazoa; Chordata; Aves; Passeriformes; Cisticolidae
Exons: 5
Source: RefSeq, a predicted model, not a curated record